This is a non-coding RNA of Delphinapterus leucas (beluga whale), 2566 nucleotides long. Lineage: Eukaryota; Metazoa; Chordata; Mammalia; Artiodactyla; Monodontidae. The record is from RefSeq and is a predicted model, not a curated record.
CCGUCCUGGUUAAGAUGGCGACGCCCGGGGUCCUGCGGAGGGGCCGCAGAGGGUGCUGCCGCCCUAGGCGAGGUCGGGCCGCCCCGCGCGGAAGAACCGCCCCCAGCAGCACCCCAACCACCGCUUAGCUAAGAAUUCCAGGCCACGCCCGGGACAGCGGCCGCAGCAUGGAUUCUUCCAGUUCGUCUAGCUCUUGCUUCUCCGUCGGCUCCACCAGUCCCGGCGCUGUCGUGCUCCUCUACUCGAAGGAACUCAAAAAGUGGGAUCAGUUUGAAGAUGUUUUGGAGGAGAGGAGGCAUGUCAGUGACCUGAAAUUUGCCAUGAAAUGCUACACACCUCUUGUCUACAAGGGAAUUACUCCUUGCAAGCCAAGUGAGAUUAAAUGUAGUGUUCUCAAUUCUGAAGAGAUUCAUUAUGUCAUUAAACAGCUUUCCAGGGAAUCCCUUCAAUCUGCCGAGGUCCUGCGAGAGGAAGCCUGUGGCAUCCUGGAUGAAAUGAACCACAAACUGCGUCUGGGAGCCAUUCGGUUCUGUGCCUUUGCCCUGAGCAAAAUAUUUAAACAAAUUUUCUCGAAAGUGUGUGUAAAUGAAGAAGGUAUUCAGAAACUACAGCGAGCCAUCCAGGAGCAUCCUGUUGUUCUGUUGCCCAGUCAUCGAAGUUACAUUGACUUUCUGAUGCUGUCUUUUCUUUUAUACAACUACGACUUACCUGUGCCGGUCAUAGCAGCAGGAAUGGACUUCCUAGGAAUGAAGAUGGUUGGUGAGCUGCUGCGAAUGUCGGGGGCGUUCUUCAUGCGGCGGACCUUCGGUGGCGAUCAGCUCUACUGGGCGGUGUUCUCUGAAUAUGUGAAAACUAUGUUACGGAAUGGUUAUGCUCCUGUUGAAUUUUUCCUCGAAGGGACAAGAAGCCGCUCCGCCAAGACACUGACUCCAAAAUUUGGUCUUCUGAAUAUUGUGAUGGAACCGUUUUUUAAAAGAGAAGUUUUUGAUACCUACCUUGUUCCGAUCAGCAUCAGUUACGAUAGGAUAUUGGAAGAAACUCUGUAUGCUUAUGAGCUCCUAGGGGUUCCUAAGCCGAAAGAAUCUACAACUGGAUUGUUGAAAGCCAGGAGGAUUCUCUCUGAAAAGUUUGGAAACAUUCAUGUGUACUUCGGAGACCCUGUGUCACUUCGAUCUCUGGCAGCUGGGAGGAUGGGUCGGAGCCCAUAUAACUUGGUUCCAAGAUAUAUUCCUCAGAAACAGUCGGAGGACAUGCAUGCCUUUGUCACUGAAGUUGCCUACAAAAUGCAACUCCUGCAAAUUCAAAACCUGGUUCUGAGCCCGUGGCCACUAAUAGUUACUGUUCUGCUUCAGAACCGGCCAUCCAUGGACUUUGAUGCCCUAUUGGAAAAGACCUUAUGGCUGAAAGGCUUAGCCCAGGCCUUCGGGGGGUUUCUCACUUGGCCUGAUAAUGAACUUGCUGAAGAAGUGGUCCAGUCCAGCCUUCUUCUGCAUUCCAACAUCGUCAGCCUCGUCAAAGACCGGGUGACUCUGAAAGUGGACUCUGGAGGCCCAGAAGUGGUCGAUGGGCUUGUUUUCCAGCACAUCACUCUCCUCGUGUGCUCGGCUUACAGGAACCAGCUGCUCAACAUUUUUGUCCGUCCUUCCUUAGUAGCUGUGGCAUUGCAGAUGACGCCUGGGUUCAGGAAAGAGGAUGUCUACAGUUGCUUUCGCUUCCUAUGCAGUGUUUUUUCAGAUGAGUUCAUCUUUCUUCCAGGAAAUGCGCUAAAGGACUUUGAAGAAGGCUGUUACCUGCUUUGUAAAAGUGAGGCCACACAGGUGACAACAAGGGACAUCCUAGUUACAGAAAAAGGAAAUACAGUGCUAGAGUUUUUAAUAGGACUCUUUAAACCUUUUGUGGAAUCUUACCAGAUAAUUUGCAAAUACCUCUUGAACGAAGAAGAAGGCUACUUCACUGAGAAACAGUACUUGGUGAACGUUAGAAAAUUCACAGGUCAGCUUCUCCAUCAAGGUGCCUCACAGUGUUACGAUGUAUUAUCCUCCGAUGUACAAAAAAAUGCCUUAGCAGCUUUUGUGAAGCUCGGUGUGGUGGAGAAGAAGAAGGUAAAUAAUGAUUAUAUAUUUACUGUGAAUGAACCUGCCGCAACAAAGUUAGAAGAAAUGCUUGGUGGUAAGACACCAGUAGGAAAACCGGCAACUGCAAAGCUUUAAUGAUUGCCAAACGGUUAUGGAAAAAUUGGUCAUAUAAUUACUGUCAUCCAAGGACUCGUAUUACAACAAAGAGGGAAGCAAAGGAAGAGACCCAUCUUCUCGUCCUUCAUAAGGCGUCAAGAACGGCGGGCUCAGUAGAGAGGAAGAGUGACCAAUUUAAGCAAUCCGUGAAAUCUCCACGUUGGUUAAAAAGGCAUUUGUGUCCAACUCCGUGUGUGUUUUAAAAUAAAACAGGCUUUCAGAAACAUGUUUGGAAAAACAAAACCCAGCUCCUAUUUCACUAAUACUUUUUAACUUACUACAUGUAUUAAACUGUUACGUUGACUUCUGAAUUAAAGUGCAGCAUCGAGUCUAAA